This 1203-nucleotide ribosomal RNA is filed under the name Listeria monocytogenes. Its description in RNAcentral is "partial 23S ribosomal RNA". It matches the Rfam family "Bacterial large subunit ribosomal RNA", at positions 1 to 1197 of the family's 2925-position model. The record is from RNAcentral. Lineage: Bacteria; Bacillati; Bacillota; Bacilli; Caryophanales; Listeriaceae.
UUGGUUAAGUUAGAAAGGGCGCACGGUGGAUGCCUUGGCACUAGGAGCCGAAGAAGGACGGGACUAACACCGAUAUGCUUUGGGGAGCUGUACGUAAGCGUUGAUCCAGAGAUUUCCGAAUGGGGGAACCCACUAUCUUUAGUCGGAUAGUAUCCUUACGUGAAUACAUAGCGUGAGGAAGGCAGACCCAGGGAACUGAAACAUCUAAGUACCUGGAGGAAGAGAAAGAAAAAUCGAUUUCCUGAGUAGCGGCGAGCGAAACGGAAAGAGCCCAAACCAAGAAGCUUGCUUCUUGGGGUUGUAGGACACUCUAUACGGAGUUACAAAAGAAAGUUAUAAAUGAAGCGGUCUGGAAAGGCCCGCCAAAGACGGUAACAGCCCGGUAGUUGAAAUAGCUUUCCCUCCAGAGUGGAUCCUGAGUACGGCGGAACACGUGAAAUUCCGUCGGAAUCCGGGAGGACCAUCUCCCAAGGCUAAAUACUCCCUAGUGACCGAUAGUGAACCAGUACCGUGAGGGAAAGGUGAAAAGCACCCCGGAAGGGGAGUGAAACAGUUCCUGAAACCGUGUGCCUACAAGUAGUUAGAGCCCGUUAAUGGGUGAUAGCGUGCCUUUUGUAGAAUGAACCGGCGAGUUACGAUUUGUUGCAAGGUUAAGCGGAAAAAGCGGAGCCGUAGCGAAAGCGAGUCUGAAUAGGGCGCAUAAGUAACAGGUCGUAGACCCGAAACCAGGUGAUCUACCCAUGUCCAGGAUGAAGGUAAGGUAAUACUUACUGGAGGUCCGAACCCACGCACGUUGAAAAGUGCGGGGAUGAGGUGUGGGUAGCGGAGAAAUUCCAAUCGAACUUGGAGAUAGCUGGUUCUCUCCGAAAUAGCUUUAGGGCUAGCCUCGAGGUAAAGAGUCAUGGAGGUAGAGCACUGUUUGGACUAGGGGCCCUUCUCGGGUUACCGAAUUCAGAUAAACUCCGAAUGCCAUGUACUUAUACUCGGGAGUCAGACUGCGAGUGAUAAGAUCCGUAGUCGAAAGGGAAACAGCCCAGACCACCAGUUAAGGUCCCCAAAUAUAUGUUAAGUGGAAAAGGAUGUGGGGUUGCUUAGACAACCAGGAUGUUGGCUUAGAAGCAGCCACCAUUGAAAGAGUGCGUAAUAGCUCACUGGUCGAGUGACCCCGCGCCGAAAAUGUACCGGGGCUAAACAUAUUACCGA